CCUACGGGAGGCAGCAGUGAGGAAUAUUGGUCAAUGGCCGGAAGGCUGAACCAGCCAUGCCGCGUGAAGGUCAGUGCCCUAUGGGCGUUAAACUUCUUUUGUGCGGGAGCAAUAAUGGUCACGUGUGGCCAGACGAGAGUACCGUACGAAUAAGCAUCGGCUAACUUCGUGCCAGCAGCCGCGGUAAUACGGGGGAUGCAAGCGUUAUCCGGAUUUCUUGGGUUUAAAGGGAGCGUAGACGGCAGUGCAAGUCCGGAGUUAAAGCCCGGGGGUCAACCCUGGGACUGCUCGGGAAACUGGAAAGCUGGAGUGCGGGAGAGGCAGGCGGAAUUCCUAGUGUAGCGGUGAAAUGCGUAGAUAUUAGGAGGAACACCAGUGGCGAAGGCGGCUUACUGGACUGUAACUGACGUUGAGGCUCGAAAGCGUGGGGAGCAAACAGGAUUAGAUACCCCAGUAGUC
This 459-nucleotide ribosomal RNA is filed under the name uncultured bacterium. RNAcentral's name for it is "partial 16S ribosomal RNA". It matches the Rfam family "Bacterial small subunit ribosomal RNA", at positions 338 to 795 of the family's 1533-position model. The record is from RNAcentral.